RNAcentral lists this long non-coding RNA (1093 nucleotides) under Rattus norvegicus (Norway rat). Its description in RNAcentral is "long non-coding RNA NONRATT017047". Lineage: Eukaryota; Metazoa; Chordata; Mammalia; Rodentia; Muridae. The record is from RNAcentral.
AUAAUGAGAUGACAUCACACCCAGCCCAAUUAGAAUAAGGCAACACAGCAGGAUGGUAUAGCCCUCCCCUGUCUUUGCUAGGAACAACCUUAGACAAGAGCCCUGUGGGGUGGUAGCUGCUUCUCUUCACCUUUGUUCCCUGCUAUUCCUCCUUUCUCCUCUGACCUCUCCAUACCACCUUUCAUCCUGAGCCUCUUCCCCUUCAUCUCCCAUUUCUUCUACAGGGAGACUCCCUGGGGGCUGGUAGCCCAAAGCUGCCACUACAGCCGCCAUGGGGGAUUCAAUACCUCAUUCCUGGGUACAGGUAAGUAGUCACUUUUCUUAUUCUCCAAUCGAAUAGGUCACACACACACUACUACAGUCUCCCUAGAUGCCUGGUAUUUCCACAGGCAACCAAGAACGGAAGCAGGGGGAACAGGAAGCAGAGGAUAGGUGAGGUCUACACCUCCCCCUUAACAGCUGCCAGCACCUUCUGACACUGCCUAACAUUACUCUCAGAUGCUUCCUCCUAAGUCUGUGUGAACUGGAUACCAGUUUUCCCACACAUCUUUCUACCUAACAUUGGAUAAACCUUCUUCCUUGUGGGUUGAACUCUGGUGCUUCCCUCUGCCGUGCUCUGAGUACUGAAGUUUGGACACAGUGUUAACUGUCCCAGCCUUCUAACCCAGCAGGUGUUCUGUACAGUAAAACCUGGCACAGCACGCACACCCUUGAAGAACUUCUAACCAUAACUCCCUUUAGCAGCUCUAACACAUGCUUCAUCUCCCUGCCCAUCAGGUCGGCCAGUGAGGAUCAGGUCUUGUUACAGGAUGGGUCUGGGGAGGAACCUACGCAUACAGUUGCUCCAAGGGCCCAGGCUCCACCGGCCCAGUCCUGGAUGGUGGGUGGGGACAUACUGAACGCCAGGGUCAUUCGAAACCUGCAGGAACGCCGCAACACCAGGCCUUGGUGACCACAACCAAAGCUUGGCCCUCAUAAUGGAUGUACUCAUUCAUUCAUUCAUUCAACAGGCCUGUCAGCUUCAGAUCCUUUGUAUCUUAUUUUUAACCAGAGCAAUAAAAAUAUUUAUUUGUUAUCACUAUAGCUACUGAAA